CUUCACCGACCCGAGCCACAGCGGCCGUUCCGCCGCGCGGUCGCGGCCGUACGUCGCGAGGAGCGCCUGGGCCUC
Molecule: non-coding RNA, 75 nt
Organism: Streptomyces mobaraensis
Lineage: Bacteria; Bacillati; Actinomycetota; Actinomycetes; Kitasatosporales; Streptomycetaceae
Source: Rfam